AAGCUUUCUCAUCUGUGACACUCGAGAUGGUUUCAGGGAGUGGACACUGGAGAGAGAGCUUUU
RNAcentral lists this microRNA precursor (63 nucleotides) under Mus musculus (house mouse). RNAcentral describes it as "Mmu-Mir-3095_pre stem-loop". Lineage: Eukaryota; Metazoa; Chordata; Mammalia; Rodentia; Muridae. The record is from RNAcentral.